UCAAUAAAAAAAUAUAAAAAAUAAUAAAGUAGUAAUAACAGCAACAGCAAUAACAGUGAGCUACUAUGUAAGAGCUUUACCUAUAUAAUCUCAUUUAUUUAUUCCUUACACUAUUCCCAGGACCAAGGGUUUAUUACUGUCUCCAUUUUAAGAUGAGGAAACCGAGGGUCACAGGAAGAGGGGCUUGCUUAUGGUCACACAGUGAUGGAUGGAAUUGGGCUGAGACCUGGAGCGAUUCCAGAGCCCAGGCCUUGACCACAGCAUGGCACUGCCUCCAGCUCUGCUGUGCUCGGAGUGGGUUUAAGGCCAUUUCAGGACAGACAUCAUCUGAAGACAAGUGCAACAAACUCUGUCAGACUUUGACUUUUCCAGUACGCGAGUCAAAAGGGGAAAAUGCUGACUUAGGUACCUUUGCUCUCCUGAUCCACAGCACAGACUUGUUUGUUUAGAGCAGUGUUUUCUAGGAUGUUCUUGACAACUGGAACAGGCUCUGACCCUUCCUUGGCCCAGCGGCAGAUGCAGUGGGAGAGCUGUGGUUCUAUAAGAAUCUAGGAAUCUUGUGGGUUCUGAAGCAGCUUCCAUGGUAGCCAAAGGACAGCUGCUUGGAAAAACUGGGUGCUCUCAUUUUGGGGGUCUCUGUGUGGCAGAUGCUUCAACUUCUCAACACUCUACCUCCAGAUAGCUAUUGAGGCUCCAUAAUGUUUUCCUGUGCACAGAAGUCAUGUGGAUGGAACCCUGGUUUGCCGGUUCUGCGACAAUUGGUCUUGGCAGGAGGUCUCAGGACAAACUUGGCCUCACCCCCCUGACCUUUAGGACUCAUGCCCCUGACACACCUGCUGUGAAAUGCGGAGGGCUUCCUUCCCCUCCUCUUUUUCUUUUUUUUUUGAGGGAAAGUUCCAUUUGUGUUUUGGAAAGAGCACAGACUCAGUCUCCCAGCAUGUCCAUUCUGUCCCAGCACUGUGUUUCCCUGGAUAAAUGAACUCACCUCUUCAUACCUCAGUCUUAUUUUCUGUGAAGUGGGGAUGCCAUUACUUUCUACAGAAUUAUUGUCCACAUUUAAUGACAUAACAGAAAAAGCACUUGUACGUAGCAGGCAUUGAAUAAAUGUUAUUAUUUUG
Long non-coding RNA from Myotis myotis, 1118 nucleotides. RefSeq lists it as uncharacterized. The record is from RefSeq and is a predicted model, not a curated record. NCBI's taxonomy places the organism in Eukaryota, Metazoa, Chordata, Mammalia, Chiroptera, Vespertilionidae. The transcript is spliced from 3 exons.